AUGAACGCUGGCGGCGUGCCUAAUACAUGCAAGUCGAGCGAACAGACGAGGAGCUUGCUCCUCUGACGUUAGCGGCGGACGGGUGAGUAACACGUGGAUAACCUACCUAUAAGACUGGGAUAACUUCGGGAAACCGGAGCUAAUACCGGAUAAUAUAUUGAACCGCAUGGUUCGAUAGUGAAAGACGGUUUUGCUGUCACUUAUAGAUGGAUCCGCGCCGCAUUAGCUAGUUGGUAAGGUAACGGCUUACCAAGGCAACGAUGCGUAGCCGACCUGAGAGGGUGAUCGGCCACACUGGAACUGAGACACGGUCCAGACUCCUACGGGAGGCAGCAGUAGGGAAUCUUCCGCAAUGGGCGAAAGCUUGACGGAGCAACGCCGCGUGAGUGAUGAAGGUCUUCGGAUCGUAAAACUCUGUUAUUAGGGAAGAACAAAUGUGUAAGUAACUAUGCACGUCUUGACGGUACCUAAUCAGAAAGCCACGGCUAACUACGUG
Molecule: ribosomal RNA, 496 nt
Filed under: uncultured bacterium
Lineage: Bacteria
Description: partial 16S ribosomal RNA
Rfam family: Bacterial small subunit ribosomal RNA
Source: RNAcentral